This 253-nucleotide ribosomal RNA is filed under the name uncultured bacterium. RNAcentral describes it as "partial 16S ribosomal RNA". It matches the Rfam family "Bacterial small subunit ribosomal RNA", at positions 524 to 776 of the family's 1533-position model. The record is from RNAcentral.
UACGUAGGGUGCAAGCGUUGUCCGGAAUUAUUGGGCGUAAAGAGCUCGUAGGCGGUUUGCCGAGUCGGCUGUGAAAACCCGAGGCUCAACCUCGGGCCUGCAGUCGAUACGGGCAAACUAGAGUGCGGUAGGGGAGACUGGAAUUCCUGGUGUAGCGGUGAAAUGCGCAGAUAUCAGGAAGAACACCUAUGGCGAAGGCAGCUCGCUGGGACGGUACUGACGCUGAGACGCGAAAGCGUGGGGAGCAAACAGG